Non-coding RNA from Mesocricetus auratus (golden hamster), 285 nucleotides. NCBI's taxonomy places the organism in Eukaryota, Metazoa, Chordata, Mammalia, Rodentia, Cricetidae. The record is from Rfam.
GGUUUCUGGAUUCUGGUGCCAUCUCCCUCUUCAGUGUCCUGUCUUGAGUUGAUUUGACUGAUCCAACUGUCUAGGGAGGUAUCUCCUACCUCCCUCACCGCUCCACGUGCAUCCUUCCUGAACCUGCAGGUUCGGUUAAAGAAUUCUGCCUUCUCCGAUAGAAGAGGACCAUUUUUUUGUCAAGGAAACAAGAAUUGCUGAACUCCUCUUCUAGAACCUCCAAAAAGCUCUCAAGAUCCUCUCUGGAUGAAAGCACUUACUUAUAUCUUCUUUAUGCUCCUCAGA